AACGAACGCUGGCGGCAUGCCUAACACAUGCAAGUCGAACGAGACCUUCGGGGCUAGUGGCGCACGGGUGCGUAACGCGUGGGAACCUGCCCUUAGGUUCGGAAUAACUCCCCGAAAGGGGUGCUAAUACCGGAUAAUGUCUUCGGACCAAAGAUUUAUCGCCUUUGGAUGGGCCCGCGUUGGAUUAGCUAGUUGGUAGGGUAAAAGCCUACCAAGGCGAAGAUCCAUAGCUGGUCUGAGAGGAUGAUCAGCCACACUGGGACUGAGACACGGCCCAGACUCCUACGGGAGGCAGCAGUGGGGAAUAUUGGACAAUGGGGGAAAGUCUGAGCCAGCAAUGCCGCGUGAGUGAUGAAGGCCUUAGGGUUGUAAAGCUCUUUUACCCGGGAUGAUAAUGACAGUACCGGGAGAAUAAGCUCCGGCUAACUCCGUG
This 433-nucleotide ribosomal RNA is filed under the name uncultured bacterium. RNAcentral describes it as "partial 16S ribosomal RNA". It matches the Rfam family "Bacterial small subunit ribosomal RNA", at positions 29 to 507 of the family's 1533-position model. The record is from RNAcentral.